This 426-nucleotide ribosomal RNA is filed under the name uncultured Actinomycetes bacterium. RNAcentral's name for it is "bacterial SSU rRNA". It matches the Rfam family "Bacterial small subunit ribosomal RNA", at positions 233 to 671 of the family's 1533-position model. Lineage: Bacteria; Bacillati; Actinomycetota; Actinomycetes. The record is from RNAcentral.
GCGGCCUAUCAGCUUGUUGGUGAGGUAAUGGCUCACCAAGGCAACGACGGGUAGCCGGCCUGAGAGGGCGACCGGCCACACUGGGACUGAGACACGGCCCAGACUCCUACGGGAGGCAGCAGUGGGGAAUAUUGGGCAAUGGAGGAAACUCUGACCCAGCGACGCCGCGUGCGGGAUGAAGGCCUUCGGGUUGUAAACCGCUCUCAGUAGGGAAGAAGCGAAAGUGACGGUACCUACAAAAGAAGCACCGGCUAACUAUGUGCCAGCAGCCGCGGUAAUACAUAGGGUGCAAGCGUUGUCCGGAAUUAUUGGGCGUAAAGAGCUCGUAGGUCGUUUGUUACGUCGGAUGUGAAAACCUGAGGCUCAACCCCAGACCUGCAUUCGAUACGGGCAAACUAGAGUUUGGUAGGGGAGACUGGAAUUCCU